This 30-nucleotide non-coding RNA is filed under the name Mus musculus (house mouse). The record is from RNAcentral. Lineage: Eukaryota; Metazoa; Chordata; Mammalia; Rodentia; Muridae.
UUAUUUAUUUUAAAUCUAAAGUUGUGGGUC